UCCAUAAAGAAGGAAUCAGGUUCCUUGAAUCAAUAGCAUUCAAGGAUUAAAAGGGAAGUUCGGUGAAAAUCCGACACGGUCCCGCCACUGUAAGAGAGGAGUCAGCACAACGAAUUGCCACUGGUCCAUAAGGAUUGGGAAGGUGUGGUGCUGAUGAUGAGCCUUAAGUCAGGAGACCUGCCUGGUUCAACAACACUGC
Molecule: non-coding RNA, 199 nt
Filed under: Bacillus methanolicus
Lineage: Bacteria; Bacillati; Bacillota; Bacilli; Caryophanales; Bacillaceae
Also listed under: 1 other name
Source: RNAcentral